RNAcentral lists this long non-coding RNA (947 nucleotides) under Prunus persica (peach). RNAcentral describes it as "long non-coding RNA (PPER_LNC001335)". The record is from RNAcentral. Lineage: Eukaryota; Viridiplantae; Streptophyta; Magnoliopsida; Rosales; Rosaceae.
CUUUAUAGAACAAGCAAUUUGGCUUUGAAAAUGGCUUGAGAGACCACUGGACCUAGCCUGCUGAAUUAAUCACUUUUGAGGUUCCAAGUGCUUGUUGAUGAGCAGGCAUGAUCUUGCUUGGUGGGGAAGGCAGAUUAAGACCUAGCCUAGCGCCACUGGACCUUGCCUGCUUAUGAAUUAAUCACUUUUGAGGUUCCAAGUGCUUGUUGAUGAGCAGGCAUGAUCUUGCUGGGUGGGGAAGGCAGAUUAAGACCUAGCCUAGCGCCACUGGACCUAGCCUGCUUAUGAAUUAAUCACUUUUGAGGUUCCAAGUGCUUGUUGAUGAGGAGGCAUGAUCUUGAUUGGUGGGGAAGGCAGAUUAAGACCUAGCCUAGCAAGCAGCCUUGCUGGUGGCCUGGUAAGCAUGUUGUAGGGUAAGUAUCCUUGUUGGAAAGUAGGGCACCCACCCUUGUUGUAUUAGCAAGACCUACCUAAAGCUCUUCUCCUUAGCACAAUAUAAACUUGGAAACGUACCCUUUUGUGUUGCAAAAGCGUCCGCUGCCGCCGGGCCUUGGUCUUCCCUUUUGAUGCCUUGAUGCGGAUGCGGCUAAAGAGUAGACACAGAGGGCCACAGCACCCUGGCAAAUUUUUUUUUUUUUUUGGCUCCAACUGAAGAAAUGCCACUAAAAAAUUCUUGAAUUAUUUUGAAGCUAAAUUAGUUUACGAUUCAAUCUUAAUUAAUCACUAGUUUGAAUAAAACAUUAAGAAUAUGUUGCUAAUGAUUGUAAUUACCUGACCUCAACUGCUAACAAUAUGUGUAUACAUGCUAUGCAGUUAGGGGUCUUAGAGAUGAGAUUCAGCAACCUGGUUGGCACCCGGCACAACAUAAUCUUCUAUCCUAUAUCGUAUAUUUAUAUCAUAUAGAGUUAAUAGGCCACCUUCUUAAUAUUGGGGACACACCAGGACCC